AGGUGGGUUCCUUGUUGGUCAAAAUCACCUCUACAGUAACACACCUCUGACCUGGACAGAUGUCAUCCGCAAAUGGGAAGCUGAAAAUAUCAGUUUUGUUUAUGGCUCAACGGGAAAUAACCCGUCACUUGUUGGUAACUACACACAGAUGAUUUCAUCUGAAACAUCUUCUGUCGGAUGCGGUGCGGCUCAAUGCAGAGGAUUGUACUUGUACAUGUGUCUGUAUGCCCCAAUGCUUGACCCCUUACGAAUAAACAAACCGUACAAAGAAUCAAAUAAAUCAUGCGACGACUGUCCUGGUAAAUGUAAUGGAACUCUAUGUGAUUACGGUGAACUUAUAUGCCUGAGUGGAUCUAAGCUAAACAUGACUACCAAUAGGUGUGAUUGCGUGUCUACCGUAUGUC
Long non-coding RNA from Dreissena polymorpha, 404 nucleotides. RefSeq lists it as uncharacterized. The record is from RefSeq and is a predicted model, not a curated record. Lineage: Eukaryota; Metazoa; Mollusca; Bivalvia; Myida; Dreissenidae. The transcript is spliced from 4 exons.